ACGCCUUUCCUGGGGCGCUAAAAUCAAAGCCUCAUUUUCACGCCUUUCCUGGGGUGCUAAAUCUUAGCGCCUUUGGAAAGGCGCUAAAAGGUCAUUGGAAAGCCGUUGGAUGGCUAAAGGCGCUAACAGUUUGAUGCCGAAGAAAGGAGAGAUAAAGGCGCUAAACUUUUAAAUCCAGAGCGAGGGGGCGUGAAACUUACAAAUAUUUGGAUAGCCAAUACCGGUCUUAGAGUAGAAGACAAAUUAUCUUGUACCAGUAUGAUGGUUGGGGAAAACAUACUCUUUUUAUAGGCUAUCAUUUCCUUACCAUUCCCAAGUGAGCAAGAAUCGUAUUACACUAUCAGUGAAAAUGUUUUUUUUAAAAAUAAAUGUCCUAUAACCACAACUCAACUUUUAAGUUGUGUCUUUGAUGUCAUGCUGUGAAUGCAAGAACAUCAACUACUAUGAUAAAUGUCAUACUAAGUGUGAAUGUUCAUGGUUUCACUUCCAUUUUAACCUAUCUGCAGCACUAACCUAUGUUAUUGGAGGUCCCAGUCCAUUUGAAGAAACAUGUCUCCAGAAGGGAUCUUGCCAAGUAAAUCGAUCCCACAAAACAUGUUGGCAUUUAAAAUAAUGUAGCUUUACACAAAUAGGAUUUGAGUCGCUUAUUGACAUGAUUGUGCAAAGAAAACACCUUAAAGAACUUGUCACAGACACAAAUGGGCACACAGCUCCUAAAGGUUUCUGCUAGAAUGUCUUGUUUGGUUUUUGUUGUUACUUGAUUAUUGGCAGAAUCGUCCACACGGGCGACUUUGUGAAGUGAGGCAGCAGCCGAUCCACCAACCGACAACCGACGGUGGCCGACGGUCGAUGACGCAACUACGCAAGAAUCAAAAUGGCGUAUCUGUGCAAAGUUUAUUUAUCGAUCUGAUCUACUUUAUUAUAGAAAGAAUUACCUGGGGUUUCUUGUGCGUUUGGGCCGCUGUUUUCGAAAUUAAGCCGAUGUAAUGGUACAUUAAAUUCCAUGCGUCGUGAAGUUGUGAGUACAAAUCUCGACAGUUGCGUUUGAUUAUCAACUGCACGCCGCUUUGCAGACACUAUUCUCUCUCUUAACUGCUUCGUAUCUAUUUCAUAGCUAAUGAAAACCUUCUCCCACUCUGUGCCUUAUUUCCGUACAAGUACUCUUUGAAUUACGUGCGACUGCAUUUCUUAUAUAUUGUGCUUGUUGUUUCUCCAACCCUAUUAUUGGUUAACCUCGAAAAUUUCCUACCAAUUGUUGCUAAUAUUAUGUCUUUUCAUUAUUUUUGUUUCAUGGUUUGCAAGUGAAUCUUCAACGAGGAAGCCCCUUAAUUCUGGAGCAUAAACAUCCCUCUCCACUUUCCAAUCUUCAAGGAUUGCCACGCAAACUUGGCUGCUGUGGUCAGUUGGAUGUUUGGAGAGCCAGUAGAGUUGGGAGGAUUGCAGUGAUGGCCUUUCAGCACUGAUACCGUCGGACAAGAUUGUUCAAUAUUUUGGAGAUGUUGACGUCUGAUCUAAAAGCAUGAUGUUAUGAACUGGUCACUGCGUGUCCAAUACUUCUCCUAAAUAAAAAUAACUGAAAGUUGUA
Long non-coding RNA from Frankliniella occidentalis (western flower thrips), 1585 nucleotides. RefSeq lists it as uncharacterized. Lineage: Eukaryota; Metazoa; Arthropoda; Insecta; Thysanoptera; Thripidae. The transcript has 2 exons. The record is from RefSeq and is a predicted model, not a curated record.